UUUUUUUUUUUUUUAACCCAAGCUGACUACUCAGGUCCGCCAUAGACUCAAAAUAGUGUCCAGUUGUGAAAUGAGCAGUAGAAAUGAACCAAACCUCUGGUGUCUUUUUCUGAGGAUGUAAAGCAGAGAGAGGCCUCUACUUUAUUUCCUCUCUGUUUAGAGCAUUCAGUCAAUAGUACCAGCUUCUUUGGCUCCAAGUGUGGGAUUCAGGAGGUGUCCUGAAUCAUCUGAAGUGGCAGCCCAGGGCUGUUCUGAACCAAGCUGAGAAAGUGGCACAAUGCUGUGUUGCAGGAAGUGAAAGAUGCCCCUUAGCCUCUGUGUCACUUGCUCAUGCUAGUGACACAGUCAGCAACUACAGAUACAGAGAAGACAGCCACACAGGCUUGGAAGCAGGCAUUGGCCUUUGGGACAAGGAACCCCAGUGGCCCUCACUCCCAGAGCAUGGCCUAAAAAGGUAUGUGUGUGUGUGUGUGUGUGUGUACAUGCAUGAGUAUAUACCUGCACACGUGCACAUGCAUGUGUGUACGUGUGUGUGCAUGUGUGCGUGCUGUGGUUGGGCACAUCACCAUGAGUAUGUUGGAGCAAGGAUUUUCUUUUCUCAAGC
RNAcentral lists this long non-coding RNA (604 nucleotides) under Sus scrofa (pig). Its description in RNAcentral is "lncRNA (ENSSSCG00050019867.1)". The record is from RNAcentral. Lineage: Eukaryota; Metazoa; Chordata; Mammalia; Artiodactyla; Suidae.